Molecule: ribosomal RNA, 253 nt
Filed under: uncultured bacterium
Lineage: Bacteria
Description: partial 16S ribosomal RNA
Rfam family: Bacterial small subunit ribosomal RNA
Source: RNAcentral
CACGUAGGGCGCAAGCGUUGUCCGGAAUUACUGGGCGUAAAGAGUGCGUAGGCGGUUCUUUGUGUCCGCUGUGAAAGCCCCGGGCUUAACCUGGGAAUGGCAGUGGAAACUAGAGAACUUGAAUCUGGCAGAGGGGGGUGGAAUGCCACGUGUAGCAGUGAAAUGCGUAGAUAUGUGGCGGAACACCGAUGGCGAAGGCAGCCCCCUGGGCUGAGAUUGACGCUCAGGCACGAAAGCGUGGGGAGCAAACAGG